This 253-nucleotide ribosomal RNA is filed under the name uncultured bacterium. Its description in RNAcentral is "partial 16S ribosomal RNA". It matches the Rfam family "Bacterial small subunit ribosomal RNA", at positions 524 to 776 of the family's 1533-position model. The record is from RNAcentral.
GACAGGGGUCUCGAGCGUUAAUCGGAAUUACUGGGCUUAAAGGGUGCGUAGGUGGGUCCGCAAGUGCUCCGUGAAAUCCCCCGGCUCAACCGGGGAACUGCGGGGCAUACUGCGGGUCUUGAGGAAGGUAGGCGCCGAGGGAACAGUAGGUGUAGCGGUGAAAUGCGUAGAUAUCUGGAGGAACACCGGUGGCGAAGGCGGCAUCCUGGACCGGCAUUGACGCUGAGGCGCGAAAGCCAGGGGAGCAAACGGG